AUCUAAUAUCUGCUGGAAAGCCAACAAUGAAUCCACAAAAAUCCAGUGCAGGAAUAAGAACCCAAGGAGGACUGGAAGCUUCAGGGAUGACUACAAAAGGGAAAAGUUUUUUGCUACAAUUGGAGAUACACACCCACAAAC
Serinus canaria (Common canary) is the source of this 141-nucleotide long non-coding RNA. RefSeq lists it as uncharacterized. The record is from RefSeq and is a predicted model, not a curated record. NCBI's taxonomy places the organism in Eukaryota, Metazoa, Chordata, Aves, Passeriformes, Fringillidae. The transcript is spliced from 3 exons.